Molecule: RNA transcript, 1441 nt
Organism: Linepithema humile (Argentine ant)
Lineage: Eukaryota; Metazoa; Arthropoda; Insecta; Hymenoptera; Formicidae
Source: RefSeq, a predicted model, not a curated record
GAUGGAAGAACAAGGAGGCCACGUAUGAGGACGGAGUGAUGAGGUAGCGAAGGGAAGAAGAGAGAAGGGGAGAGAAGGAGAGACAGAGAGAGGCAACCAGGCACAGCAUAGCAUAGCGUAGCAUGGCACGGCAUAUCCAUAGACAUAUACACUGUGUCUAUGGGCAUAUCGACGAGAUCCGACAGCGGCCGAGAGCCACCGAACACGGCCGACUCGGACCCUGCGCGCUCAACCCAAACCCGAGAAAGCAUAGUUGCAUUUAAACUGCCAUCCCACUCAGGAGGUCUCUCUCUUCCUGAGUCCUGAGCGCCGUCUCAGGACGAGUGCGUUACGUAAAUUGCGCGCACCGAUGCGUCUUUGUGAUUUCGUUCCCGUCUCGUCGUUUGCGUUUCGUUCGUCACUUGGAAGAAAAAAGAUGAAGAGAAAAACCCAGGAGAAAGCGAUGUUUCCGGAGGAAAGCGGUGUCCGGGGGUUGACCCGGUCGCGCACAGGGCACGUCUGACGUCAGAAGCGCUUUAACUUGUUGGAUUCGACGCGAGUGCAACGCGAAGGUGUCGGGACGUCGACAUCGACGGUGCGGACGGAUGAGCGAUGCCCUCCCACACACCAGCUUCUCGCGGUGGUCUCUCUUUCGGACGUCGACGAUGGACACCAAGGGCACUGGCUCCUGUCGGGCUUCCGGUACCGCGGUACGCGUCAUCCCGUCCGUCACGCGUUUUUCCACCGCGUUCUGUCGUCACGUCGUUCGCUUCGUCAUCCGCUUUGUACGCGACACUGUCACUGCGUGCUCGCUUCGGUUCCGUCACACGGUGGGUUUCUUUCGCGCUCAUGUUCCCCGUGCGGUCAUGUGACGGGGCUCUAUGGGUUCAACGCCGCGCGGGUUCCUCGCUCCGCUUCGUGACGCUGUCGCUGUCACCUCGGCCACUGACAGCCAGCUGCGAUAUUCCGUGCGACGUUAACGGGAGCGCUCGGAGUAAAUGCGAAACUAAAUAGCACAGCAACAAUUUUUCAAAUCAAUUAUUUUUACACGUUGCGUAUUUUUUAUUCCGCGUUUUUGUUCUCGGCACUUUAAUUUCUUUUUUUUUUUAAAUUGACAACGCUCCCUCAUUUGAUUAUCAUCCGUGAAGAGCCAGAUAGUUCUCUUGGAUUUGGAGUAAGCUCUUGGAACGUCACUUUGGAUAUGCUGUUCUGUUGCGAUACAUAUGAUGACAUUAAGAGUAAAAAAAAGUGGAACAGGAAUACCUAAUACGCAUACACUCUGAUCCAGCGCAUUGGAUAUAUAUAAUAAUAAGGUGGCGUAGCAAUCGUCGAGUGCAGUAACAUUUUAGAAGUAAGGUUGGCCAUCCUGACCGAAAGUUGCUGAAAGUGAAGCUAGUGAAGCAGACGACGAGUCGCCAUCUUCUACGUGAAUUUUGUUCAGACGUUUGGUAUCCGAAUUUUA